UCACGCCCCGGGUGCGUCGCAGCCCCGGAACCAGGCGCCCGCCGGAGGAACCAACCAAACUCUUUCUGUAGUCCCCUCGCGGACGUAUUUCUUUACAGCUCUGAGCAAAAAUUCAAAAUGAAUCAAAACUUUCAACAACGGAUCUCUUGGUUCUGGCAUCGAUGAAGAACGCAGCGAAAUGCGAUAAGUAAUGUGAAUUGCAGAAUUCAGUGAAUCAUCGAAUCUUUGAACGCACAUUGCGCCCGCCAGUAUUCUGGCGGGCAUGCCUGUCCGAGCGUCAUUUCAACCCUCGAACCCCUCCGGGGGAUCGGCGUUGGGGAUCGGGACCCCUCACACGGGUGCCGGCCCCUAAAUACAGUGGCGGUCUCGCCGCAGCCUCUCCUGCGCAGUAGUUUGCACAACUCGCACCGGGAGCGCGGCGCGUCCACGUCCGUAAAACACCCAACUUUCUGAAAUGUUGACCUCGGAUCAGGUAGGAAU
This 480-nucleotide ribosomal RNA is filed under the name Trichoderma asperellum. Its description in RNAcentral is "eukaryotic LSU rRNA". The stretch from base 127 to 280 matches the Rfam family "5.8S ribosomal RNA". Lineage: Eukaryota; Fungi; Ascomycota; Sordariomycetes; Hypocreales; Hypocreaceae. The record is from RNAcentral.